UACGUAGGGUGCAAGCGUUGUCCGGAAUUAUUGGGCGUAAAGAGCUCGUAGGCGGCUUGUCACGUCGACUGUGAAAACCCGGGGCUCAACUCCGGGCCUGCAGUCGAUACGGGCUGGCUUGAGUGCGGUAGGGGAGACUGGAAUUCCUGGUGUAGCGGUGAAAUGCGCAGAUAUCAGGAGGAACACCGGUGGCGAAGGCGGGCCUCUGGGCCGUAACUGACGCUGAGGAGCGAAAGCGUGGGGAGCGAACAGG
RNAcentral lists this ribosomal RNA (253 nucleotides) under uncultured bacterium. RNAcentral's name for it is "partial 16S ribosomal RNA". It matches the Rfam family "Bacterial small subunit ribosomal RNA", at positions 524 to 776 of the family's 1533-position model. The record is from RNAcentral.